RNAcentral lists this ribosomal RNA (456 nucleotides) under uncultured bacterium. RNAcentral describes it as "bacterial SSU rRNA". It matches the Rfam family "Bacterial small subunit ribosomal RNA", at positions 28 to 492 of the family's 1533-position model. The record is from RNAcentral.
GAUGAACGCUGGCGGCGUGCUUAACACAUGCAAGUCGAACGGGAUCCCAGGAGCUUGCUCCUGGGUGAGAGUGGCGAACGGGUGAGUAAUGCGUGACCGACCUGCCCCAUACACCGGAAUAGCUCCUGGAAACGGGUGGUAAUGCCGGAUGCUCCAGUUGACCGCAUGGCCCUCUGGGAAAGAUUCAUCGGUAUGGGAUGGGGUCGCGUCCUAUCAGCUUGAUGGCGGGGUAACGGCCCACCAUGGCUUCGACGGGUAGCCGGCCUGAGAGGGCGACCGGCCACAUUGGGACUGAGAUACGGCCCAGACUCCUACGGGAGGCAGCAGUGGGGAAUAUUGCACAAUGGGCGCAAGCCUGAUGCAGCGACGCCGCGUGCGGGAUGACGGCCUUCGGGUUGUAAACCGCUUUUGACUGGGAGCAAGCCCUUCGGGGUGAGUGUACCUUUCGAAUAAGCA